AUUGAACGCUGGCGGCAUGCUUUACACAUGCAAGUCGAACGGCAGCGGGGUAGUGCUUGCACUACUUCCGGCGAGUGGCGAACGGGUGAGUCAUAUAUCGGAACGUACCGAGUAAUGGGGGAUAACCAAUCGAAAGAUUGGCUAAUACCUCAUACGUCCUGAUGCAUAAAGCGGGUGAUCGCAAGACCUCGCGUUAUUCUAGCCGCGGAUAAUUUAUUAGUUAGUUGGUGGGGUAAAGACCUAAAAAGGCGACGAUCAGUAGGGGGUCUGAGAGGACGAUGCGCCACACUGGAACUGAGACACCGCCCAUACUCCUACGGGACGCAGCAGUGUGCAAUUUUAGACAAUAGUGGCAACCAUUAUCCAACCAUCCCACGUGUAUUAAGAAAACCUUCCGUUUGUAAAGUACUUUUUUUAGGUAAAAAAAGGUAAGUCCUAAUACCACUUUUUACUGACGGUAACUAAAAAAUAAGCACCGGCUAACUACGUG
This 490-nucleotide ribosomal RNA is filed under the name uncultured bacterium. RNAcentral describes it as "partial 16S ribosomal RNA". It matches the Rfam family "Bacterial small subunit ribosomal RNA", at positions 30 to 507 of the family's 1533-position model. The record is from RNAcentral.